This 1517-nucleotide ribosomal RNA is filed under the name Klebsiella pneumoniae. RNAcentral's name for it is "bacterial LSU rRNA". It matches the Rfam family "Bacterial large subunit ribosomal RNA", at positions 1429 to 2925 of the family's 2925-position model. Lineage: Bacteria; Pseudomonadati; Pseudomonadota; Gammaproteobacteria; Enterobacterales; Enterobacteriaceae. The record is from RNAcentral.
GUUAAUAUUCCUGUACUUGGUGUUACUGCGAAGGGGGGACGGAGAAGGCUAUGUUAGCCGGGCGACGGUUGUCCCGGUUUAAGCAUGUAGGCUGGUUAUCCAGGCAAAUCCGGAUAACCAAGGCUGAGGUGUGAUGACGAGGCACUACGGUGCUGAAGUAACAAAUGCCCUGCUUCCAGGAAAAGCCUCUAAGCAUCAGGUAACAUCAAAUCGUACCCCAAACCGACACAGGUGGUCAGGUAGAGAAUACCAAGGCGCUUGAGAGAACUCGGGUGAAGGAACUAGGCAAAAUGGUGCCGUAACUUCGGGAGAAGGCACGCUGGUGUGUAGGUGAAGUCCCUGCGGAUGGAGCUGAGACCAGUCGAAGAUACCAGCUGGCUGCAACUGUUUAUUAAAAACACAGCACUGUGCAAACACGAAAGUGGACGUAUACGGUGUGACGCCUGCCCGGUGCCGGAAGGUUAAUUGAUGGGGUUAUCCGUAAGGAGAAGCUCUUGAUCGAAGCCCCGGUAAACGGCGGCCGUAACUAUAACGGUCCUAAGGUAGCGAAAUUCCUUGUCGGGUAAGUUCCGACCUGCACGAAUGGCGUAAUGAUGGCCAGGCUGUCUCCACCCGAGACUCAGUGAAAUUGAACUCGCUGUGAAGAUGCAGUGUACCCGCGGCAAGACGGAAAGACCCCGUGAACCUUUACUAUAGCUUGACACUGAACAUUGAGCCUUGAUGUGUAGGAUAGGUGGGAGGCUUUGAAGCGUGGACGCCAGUCUGCGUGGAGCCAACCUUGAAAUACCACCCUUUAAUGUUUGAUGUUCUAACGUUGGCCCCUGACCGGGGUUGCGGACAGUGUCUGGUGGGUAGUUUGACUGGGGCGGUCUCCUCCCAAAGCGUAACGGAGGAGCACGAAGGUUAGCUAAUCCUGGUCGGACAUCAGGAGGUUAGUGCAAUGGCAUAAGCUAGCUUGACUGCGAGCGUGACGGCGCGAGCAGGUGCGAAAGCAGGUCAUAGUGAUCCGGUGGUUCUGAAUGGAAGGGCCAUCGCUCAACGGAUAAAAGGUACUCCGGGGAUAACAGGCUGAUACCGCCCAAGAGUUCAUAUCGACGGCGGUGUUUGGCACCUCGAUGUCGGCUCAUCACAUCCUGGGGCUGAAGUAGGUCCCAAGGGUAUGGCUGUUCGCCAUUUAAAGUGGUACGCGAGCUGGGUUUAGAACGUCGUGAGACAGUUCGGUCCCUAUCUGCCGUGGGCGCUGGAGAAUUGAGGGGGGCUGCUCCUAGUACGAGAGGACCGGAGUGGACGCAUCACUGGUGUUCGGGUUGUCAUGCCAAUGGCACUGCCCGGUAGCUAAAUGCGGAAGAGAUAAGUGCUGAAAGCAUCUAAGCACGAAACUUGCCCCGAGAUGAGUUCUCCCUGAGACUUUAAGUCUCCUGAAGGAACGUUGAAGACGACGACGUUGAUAGGCCGGGUGUGUAAGCGCAGCGAUGCGUUGAGCUAACCGGUACUAAUGAACCGUGAGGCUUAACCUU